Molecule: non-coding RNA, 124 nt
Organism: Picea glauca (white spruce)
Lineage: Eukaryota; Viridiplantae; Streptophyta; Pinopsida; Pinales; Pinaceae
Source: Rfam
AAUGUAAUGUAUUUCCUACAAUAUUAAGGCACCAGAUCCCAUUAUAACUCUAUAAUUAAGCAUGAUUGAGAUAGAGUAGUACUAGGAUGGGUGACCUCUUUUGAAGUCCUAGUGUUUUACAUUC